This 615-nucleotide ribosomal RNA is filed under the name Enterobacter hormaechei. RNAcentral's name for it is "bacterial SSU rRNA". It matches the Rfam family "Bacterial small subunit ribosomal RNA", at positions 554 to 1170 of the family's 1533-position model. The record is from RNAcentral. Lineage: Bacteria; Pseudomonadati; Pseudomonadota; Gammaproteobacteria; Enterobacterales; Enterobacteriaceae.
CUGGGCGUAAGCGCACGCAGGCGGUCUGUCAAGUCGGAUGUGAAAUCCCCGGGCUCAACCUGGGAACUGCAUUCGAAACUGGCAGGCUAGAGUCUUGUAGAGGGGGGUAGAAUUCCAGGUGUAGCGGUGAAAUGCGUAGAGAUCUGGAGGAAUACCGGUGGCGAAGGCGGCCCCCUGGACAAAGACUGACGCUCAGGUGCGAAAGCGUGGGGAGCAAACAGGAUUAGAUACCCUGGUAGUCCACGCCGUAAACGAUGUCGACUUGGAGGUUGUGCCCUUGAGGCGUGGCUUCCGGAGCUAACGCGUUAAGUCGACCGCCUGGGGAGUACGGCCGCAAGGUUAAAACUCAAAUGAAUUGACGGGGGCCCGCACAAGCGGUGGAGCAUGUGGUUUAAUUCGAUGCAACGCGAAGAACCUUACCUACUCUUGACAUCCAGAGAACUUUCCAGAGAUGGAUUGGUGCCUUCGGGAACUCUGAGACAGGUGCUGCAUGGCUGUCGUCAGCUCGUGUUGUGAAAUGUUGGGUUAAGUCCCGCAACGAGCGCAACCCUUAUCCUUUGUUGCCAGCGGUUAGGCCGGGAACUCAAAGGAGACUGCCAGUGAUAAACUGGAGGA